CAGCUCAAAUUUGAAAUCUGGCUUCGGCCCGAGUUGUAAUUUGUAGAGGAUGCUUUUGGCGAGGUGCCUUCUGAGUUCCCUGGAACGGGACGCCAGAGAGGGUGAGAGCCCCGUAUAGUCGGACACCUAGCCUCUGUAAAGCUCCUUCGACGAGUCGAGUAGUUUGGGAAUGCUGCUCAAAAUGGGAGGUAUAUCUCUUCUAAAGCUAAAUAUAGGCCAGAGACCGAUAGCGCACAAGUAGAGUGAUCGAAAGAUGAAAAGCACUUUGAAAAGAGGGUUAAAUAGCACGUGAAAUUGUUGAAAGGGAAGCGCUUGUGACCAGACUUGUGCCGGGCUGAUCAUCCAGUGUUCUCACUGGUGCACUCGACCCGGCUCAGGCCAGCGUCGGUUCUCGCAGGGGGACAAAAGCUUCGGGAACGUGGCUCCUCCGGGAGUGUUAUAGCCCGCUGCCCAAUACCCUUGCGUGGACCGAGGUUCGCGCUCUGCAAGGACGCUGGCAUAAUGGUCAUCAGCGACCC
RNAcentral lists this ribosomal RNA (518 nucleotides) under Barnettozyma californica. RNAcentral describes it as "partial large subunit ribosomal RNA". It matches the Rfam family "Eukaryotic large subunit ribosomal RNA", at positions 104 to 650 of the family's 3401-position model. RNAcentral also lists the same sequence under 1 other name. The record is from RNAcentral. Lineage: Eukaryota; Fungi; Ascomycota; Saccharomycetes; Phaffomycetales; Phaffomycetaceae.